GCAUUCCGAAGACGGUGGAGACGAAAAGCAACGGGAAGAAAGAGAUAAACAGAAGCGAUGCGCUCGUCUAGGUCGAGCUUGCUUCAGGAGCUCCUGCUCUAUGCAGCGACCGCAGCGCUGAGUUCUCUCGUCCUCUUCGUCGGGUUGCGCCAACUCGACCCCAACCAUUCCGCCAGAAAGAAGGCCCUCGAGCACAAGAAGGAGAUCGCCAAGCGCCUCGGUCGCCCUCUCAUCAACACCAACCCAUACGAGGAUGUAAUAGCUUGUGAUGUUAUAAAUACCGAUCACAUUGAUAUUGAAUUUGAGUCUAUUGGGGGUUUAGAGCAUGUCAAGCAAGCAUUAUUUGAAUUGAUCAUUCUUCCACUUCGUAGACCCCAGUUGUUUUCACAUGGAAAACUUCUUAGCCCACAAAAGGGCGUUCUGUUGUAUGGUCCACCUGGAACAGGAAAGACAAUGCUAGCCAAGGCCUUAGCAAAAGAGUCUGGUGCAGUUUUUAUUAAUGUGAGGAUCUCAAAUUUGAUGAGUAAAUGGUUUGGGGAUGCCCAAAAACUUGUUUCUGCUGUUUUUAGCCUUGCUUAUAAGCUACAACCUGCUAUUAUUUUCAUUGACGAGGUGGAUAGUUUUUUGGGUCAGCGACAGAAUACAGAUCAGGAAGCAUUGGCUAACAUGAAAACUGAGUUCAUGUCCUUGUGGGAUGGCUUCACAACUGACCAGAAUGCUCGUGUAAUGGUUCUUGCUGCUACAAAUCGGCCAUCAGAGUUAGAUGAGGCAAUCCUCAGGCGGUUUACCCAAACUUUUGAAAUUGGCAUGCCUAAUCAAAAUGAGAGGGCCAUCAUACUAAAGGUAAUACUCAAGGGUGAAAAUGUCGAAGAAAACAUUGAUUUCGAGUACCUAGCUGCAUUGUGUCAAGAUUUUAGCGGUUCAGAUUUGCUUGAGUUGUGCAAACAAGCAGCCUAUUUCCCGAUCAGGGAGUUACUCAAUGAUGAGAAGAAUGGAAUGAUAUGCACUGUGAGUAUUUAUCAUUUUUAUCAAAUAAUAUUUUGGCAAGUUCAUUCCUCCAACUUUCCCCUUGAUGCCUAAUAAAUUUAAGCCAAUCUAAUCCAUUCAAGAGCAUAUCUGCAUACUUCAUGAUAGCCAGAUCUACGCCCCCACGGGCUGGAUCAGCUGGUAGGGUGCCUGGACGCUUGCAUCGAAGGCCGUAGGGUCGAGGGUCGUCAGCUGCACACGGGCGUAAAAUCUCGGUCUGCUGUGCUUAAAUUCCACUCGACCCCCAGUCACCCCUCCCGCCCAGCUUAAUCGUGAUUUACCCCCUCUGGACAUCUGUGGGGCCGGACCCGAGGGGCCGCUAAGGUGGCGGUUCCACCUUUUUGCAUGAUAGCCAGAUCUACUAUCGUUGUCUAUUGUUCAUUUUGAUGUUCUAUCUUCUUUAUUCUGUGAAGUCUCGCUCCUGACCUAUGCAUGUUCACUAGACUAGAUCUUCUAUUAAGGCAUUUUUCUAUAAAGUUGGUAUUCGAGUUUUUUCUCUUUGCGAACCUUGAGAGGACUUUGUGGAGACAAUUUAACAUUUUUGUGACAACCUCUGCAUUUCAAGCAGGGUCCGAGACCACUAGAACAGUCAGACUUGGAGAAUGCACUAGUAACAUCUCGGAAGGCGA
Zingiber officinale is the source of this 1655-nucleotide RNA transcript. It is a transcript of the gene named outer mitochondrial transmembrane helix translocase-like, with no coding region annotated. The record is from RefSeq and is a predicted model, not a curated record. Lineage: Eukaryota; Viridiplantae; Streptophyta; Magnoliopsida; Zingiberales; Zingiberaceae. The transcript has 5 exons.